CUUGUGAGUAACACGUGGAUAACCUACCUAUAAGACUGGGAUAACUUCGGGAAACCGGAGCUAAUACCGGAUAAUAUUUUGAACCGCAUGGUUCAAAAGUAAAAGACGGUCUUGCUGUCACUUAUAGAUGGAUCCGCGCUGCAUUAGCUAGUUGGUAAGGUAACGGCUUACCAAGGCAACGAUGCAUAGCCGACCUGAGAGGGUGAUCGGCCACACUGGAACUGAGACACGGUCCAG
This 237-nucleotide ribosomal RNA is filed under the name uncultured Staphylococcus sp. RNAcentral's name for it is "partial 16S ribosomal RNA". It matches the Rfam family "Bacterial small subunit ribosomal RNA", at positions 106 to 334 of the family's 1533-position model. Lineage: Bacteria; Bacillati; Bacillota; Bacilli; Caryophanales; Staphylococcaceae. The record is from RNAcentral.